UUGAGCCCGUGUCAAGGAUGGCUUUGAGCUCAACGCUGAUUUCGACUUCGAGGAAGAUUUGGAAGUUGAUUUCUGUUUUGGCGACGGCAUGGUCAGGGCCGACACCGGGUCUGCCAAAUCUGAUCUUGGAAUGGGCAUCAAGGCAAUCGCCCUCACAAUCCUGUGAGAAUUAAGGCUUCAGUAGCAGUAGCAGAACCUCCAGACACUGAGAUACUACAACAACAGGUCUGCAUUCCCUCUGAUGUAGGAUCAAACAUUUACCACUGCGUUUCUUCACAAAACACAAGGUUGUAAAGUGCUUAACAAGACCACGCAAUCCUCCUGCAGGUAUGAACACUUCAUAGAGACUGGAGUUUUUAGUGAGACUGCUUGGGAGACAGGUGGUCUCUCAUACAGAGUCAAGGAGGCAACAUUGUAUACCAACCGUAACAAAUAACUCAGAUAAUAUCAUUUUCCCUGCCAUUGUUGUCAACUCAUUUUAUAAAACAUUUGUCAACUAGUUUACAGGAUUGUAGACCGAACAGACCUUUACUGAUUUCCAUUCCACCUGUCCUCCAAAGGGGGCUGUUGCAUUCGUAGAAGACUGCAAAUCUGACAACUGAGUAAGCUGCACAUGCUUUGGACAGAAGUUCAGGCUUUAUUGUUUAAGCCAGACAGUCUCUGAUUCUCAUUUUAAAACCAAAAUAAUCACAACAAGCUGCAAGUCUGAGGGGAGCUCCAGAGUUGUGCAAACCUAGUAUAGACAACUUCCCACUUUCACUAGUUCAUGUUUUGGCAUAAGUUAGACUCAAGUUUACUUAUUUAUUUAGCUGAGCUAAGGGAACUGUUUUGCAGGUGGGCUUGGAGUAACCAUAAACACAAGAAUCCUGACAGCCUCCCUUGGAA
Non-coding RNA from Pogona vitticeps (central bearded dragon), 885 nucleotides. The record is from RefSeq and is a predicted model, not a curated record. Lineage: Eukaryota; Metazoa; Chordata; Lepidosauria; Squamata; Agamidae.